GCAAGUCGAGCGGUAAGGCCUUUCGGGGUACACGAGCGGCGAACGGGUGAGUAACACGUGGGUGAUCUGCCCUGCACUCUGGGAUAAGCUUGGGAAACUGGGUCUAAUACCGGAUAUGACCACAGCAUGCAUGUGUUGUGGUGGAAAGAUUUAUCGGUGCAGGAUGGGCCCGCGGCCUAUCAGCUUGUUGGUGGGGUAAUGGCCUACCAAGGCGACGACGGGUAGCCGACCUGAGAGGGUGACCGGCCACACUGGGACUGAGACACGGCCCAGACUCCUACGGGAGGCAGCAGUGGGGAAUAUUGCACAAUGGGCGGAAGCCUGAUGCAGCGACGCCGCGUGAGGGAUGAAGGCCUUCGGGUUGUAAACCUCUUUCAGCAGGGACGAAGCGUGAGUGACGGUACCUGCAGAAGAAGCACCGGCUAACUACGUGCCAGCAGCCGCGGUAAUACGUAGGGUGCGAGCGUUGUCCGGAAUUACUGGGCGUAAAGAGUUCGUA
This 499-nucleotide ribosomal RNA is filed under the name Rhodococcoides fascians. Its description in RNAcentral is "bacterial SSU rRNA". It matches the Rfam family "Bacterial small subunit ribosomal RNA", at positions 57 to 573 of the family's 1533-position model. Lineage: Bacteria; Bacillati; Actinomycetota; Actinomycetes; Mycobacteriales; Nocardiaceae. The record is from RNAcentral.